AGAGUUUGAUCCUGGCUCAGGACGAACGCUGGCGGCGUGCUUAACACAUGCAAGUCGAACGGAAAGGCCCUUCGGGGUACUCGAGUGGCGAACGGGUGAGUAACACGUGGGUGAUCUGCCCUGCACUUUGGGAUAAGCCUGGGAAACUGGGUCUAAUACCGAAUAUGACCAUGCGCCUCCUGGUGUGUGGUGGAAAGCUUUUGCGGUGUGGGAUGGGCCCGCGGCCUAUCAGCUUGUUGGUGGGGUAAUGGCCUACCAAGGCGACGACGGGUAGCCGGCCUGAGAGGGUGACCGGCCACACUGGGACUGAGAUACGGCCCAGACUCCUACGGGAGGCAGCAGUGGGGAAUAUUGCACAAUGGGCGCAAGCCUGAUGCAGCGACGCCGCGUGAGGGAUGACGGCCUUCGGGUUGUAAACCUCUUUCAGCACAGACGAAGCGCAAGUGACGGUAUGUGCAGAAGAAGGACCGGCCAACUACGUGCCAGCAGCCGCGGUAAUACGUAGGGUCCGAGCGUUGUCCGGAAUUACUGGGCGUAAAGAGCUCGUAGGUGGUUUGUCGCGUUGUUCGUGAAAACUCACAGCUUAACUGUGGGCGUGCGGGCGAUACGGGCAGACUUGAGUACUGCAGGGGAGACUGGAAUCCCUGGUGUAGCGGUGGAAUGCGCAGAUAUCAGGAGGAACACCGGUGGCGAAGGCGGGUCUCUGGGCAGUAACUGACGCUGAGGAGCGAAAGCGUGGGGAGCGAACAGGAUUAGAUACCCUGGUAGUCC
RNAcentral lists this ribosomal RNA (771 nucleotides) under uncultured bacterium. RNAcentral describes it as "bacterial SSU rRNA". It matches the Rfam family "Bacterial small subunit ribosomal RNA", at positions 8 to 796 of the family's 1533-position model. The record is from RNAcentral.